Molecule: ribosomal RNA, 445 nt
Filed under: uncultured bacterium
Lineage: Bacteria
Description: partial 16S ribosomal RNA
Rfam family: Bacterial small subunit ribosomal RNA
Source: RNAcentral
GUGAGGAAUAUUGGACAAUGGAUGCAAGUCUGACCCAGCCAUCCCGCGUGCCGGAAGAAGGCCCUCAGGGUUGUAAACGGCUUUUGACGGUGAAGAAUCGACAGGAUGCGUCCUGUUUUGACGGUAGCCGUUGAAUAAGCACCGGCUAACUCCGUGCCAGCAGCCGCGGUAAUACGGAGGGUGCGAGCGUUGUCCGGAUUUAUUGGGUUUAAAGGGUGCGUAGGCUGGAAGGUCAGUCAGCGGUGAAAAGCUGUCGCUUAACGAUAGUCUUGCCGCAGAUACUUCCUUUCUUGGAUGAGGAGGAGGCCACUGGAACGGAUGGUGUAGCGGUGAAAUGCAUAGAUAUCAUCCAGAACACCGAUUGCGAAGGCAGGUGGCUGUACCUUAAUCGACGCUGAUGCACGAAAGCAUGGGGAGCAAACAGGAUUAGAAACCCGGGUAGUCC